Molecule: ribosomal RNA, 391 nt
Filed under: Ochromonas perlata
Lineage: Eukaryota; Chrysophyceae; Chromulinales; Chromulinaceae
Description: partial small subunit ribosomal RNA
Rfam family: Eukaryotic small subunit ribosomal RNA
Source: RNAcentral
GCUUGUCUCAAAGAUUAAGCCAUGCAUGUCUAAGUAUAACUCUUUUACUUUGAAAACUGCGAACGGCUCAUUAUAUCAGUUAUAGUUUCUUUGAUAGUCCCUUACUACUUGGAUACCCGUAGUAAUUCUAGAGCUAAUACAUGCAGCAAUCCCUGACUUAGGAAAGGGUGUACUUAUUAGAUGGAAACCAAUGAGGGGCAACCCUGUAUAUGGUGAUUCAUAAUAAUUUUCGGAUCGAUCUUUGAUCGAUGCAUCAUUCAAGUUUCUGCCCUAUCAGCUUUGGAUGGUAGGGUAUUGGCCUACCAUGGCUUUAACGGGUAACGGAGAAUUAGGGUUCGAUUCCGGAGAGGGAGCCUGAGAAAUGGCUACCACAUCCAAGGAAGGCAGCAGG